UACUACCGAAGCUACGGCAUCAGUAAUGAUGGGUAGGGGAGCUUCCCAUACGGGUUGAAGCAUGACCGUAAGGACAUGUGGACAGUAUGGGAGUGAGAAUGUUGGCAUGAGUAGCGAGAUGUGGGUGAGAAUCCCACAGGCCGUAAACCCAAGGUUGCCAGGGGAAGGUUCGUCCGCCCUGGGUUAGUCGGGACCUAAGCUGAGGCCGAAAGGCGUAGGUGAUGGACAACAGGUUGAUAUUCCUGUACUACCGAUAACCGUUUGAGAGAUGGGAUGACACAGUAGGAUAAGCUAAGCACACUGUUGGUUAUGUGUGCCCAAGCAUUGAGGCAGUCAAAGUAGGCAAAUCCGCUUUGAUAAUGCUGGGAUGUGAUGGGGAGCGAAAUUUAGUAGCGAAGUAGCUGAUUUCACACUGUCAAGAAAAGUCUCUAUCGAGGUUAAAGGUACCCGUACCGCAAACCGACACAGGUG
This 471-nucleotide ribosomal RNA is filed under the name Clostridioides difficile. Its description in RNAcentral is "bacterial LSU rRNA". It matches the Rfam family "Bacterial large subunit ribosomal RNA", at positions 1189 to 1665 of the family's 2925-position model. Lineage: Bacteria; Bacillati; Bacillota; Clostridia; Peptostreptococcales; Peptostreptococcaceae. The record is from RNAcentral.